UGCAAUAACAAGUGCUGAAGAAGAUGCCAUAACAAGUGCAGAACACGAUACUGUAACAGAUGCACAAUACGACCCCACAUCAUUCAUAACUUUUUUAAAGAAUUAUGACAAAGACAACGACGAAAAUUAUCAUGAGAAAAAAAAUGGUAAGUAUGAUGAAGAUGGAGAAAAAGAAGAGUCAUAUGCAUAUUUACCAAUGUAUGAUAACAUUUAUAAUAUUAAAAAUCUGGAAGAGGAAAUUAAUAUUAGUAACUUAUUGAAUCCAAAUGAUAAGUUAUUAAAUAAUGAAGUGAAAAAAGAUUUAAUGGUGUUAAUAAAUAAAAUGAAUGUUGAUAAAUAUGAUAUUCAUAAUAAAUAUGUUUCUACUUUAGAAGAAGAAAGGAAUAGAUCUAAUUUGUUAUAUAAGGAAAAUAUAGAAGAUAUACAAAAAAUGGAAAGUUCGUAUAAUCAAAUUAAUAAAGCAUGGAAAGUUAUGUAUGGGUGUAAUGAACGUAAUGAAUUGACUACUGAAGCAAUUUUAAAAAAAAAUGUUGUAAGUUUGUAUAAGGAGAUAAAAAAAGCAGAUGAUGGUAACGGUAGUAGAAACGGUUUAGGUCCUAAAUACAAAGAUGUUAUUAUAAACGAAGACCCCGAAUUAAGCAAUAAGUUAUUCGAAGAAGAAUUAAAAAAAAAUAUGCAGCAAUCUGAUAUGGAAAUAAUAAGAGGUAAUAUUUUAUUAAACAAUAAUGAUAAAAGAAAAAAAGAAAUGAAACAAAUUAUGCAAUUAAAAAUGAUGUUAGCAGCUGAGAGGCGUAAAUCCAUUUACCGGAAAAACAUUAAAUCGAAAACAUAUAGAAAACAUUUAAAAUUAAAAGAAAAAAAAGAAGAAAAAAUACUUUUCGAAAAAAUAUGUACAGAAGCUCCAGAACUAGCUGAACAAUUACAUAAUUUUGAAGAAGAAUAUGCAAAAAAAAGAAACAUUAUAAAUAAUGUAAAAAAUAGAAAGACUUUAAAUUUGGUAAACAAAUAUAAAAAUGAGGGACUCAAAAAAGAAAUUUUAAAAAGUGUACAAGCUAAUAAAGAAAAAAAAAACAUGCUUAAAACGGUAAUAACAAAAGCGUUAGGUGAAAUAAAUGAUUCAUCAUCUGUUGUAUAUGCAGAUAAUAAUGAUGUUAGUUAUGUUAAUAAUAGUGUAAGUGACGGUAGUAGUAGUAGUAGUAGUAGUAGUGGUAACAUGACAACAUGUGAUGAUAAACAAAACGACUCUGAUUGUUGUUAUUCCGAAUCAGAAAAUAAAGAAAGAAAUAAUAAACGAAUGAAACAAAAAAAAACAAAAAAAAAAUUACAAAAAUAUGCUUUUAUGAAAAAUGCAAAAGAAUAUAAAAUAAAUGAAGAUAUUAUAAAAAAAAGAAAAGCGUUGUUAAAUAUGAUUGAUAAGGAUGGUAGUAGUAGUAGUAUUAGCAAUCUUGUUGUUACAAGUAAUAAUGUUAACAAUGCAGGACCUGACAAUCCUUUGUCUAGUGAUUACUACUUUUCUGACGAAGAAAACUUAGUGAAGGAUUCUAAACUUAUGCAAAACUCGAAUAAAGUUCAAAAUUUGAGUGACAAGCAGUUAAAAAAGGGGAAAGAACAGUUAAAAAAUAAUAUUGACUUUAUUAAUAAUUUAAAAAAAAGGAAAAUAUUAAAUCUGGAUGAGAUCAUUAAUUCGAAUGACUUGGAGGAAGUGGAAGGAGGUGGCGUAGUGGAAGUAGAAGCGGAUGAUGACGUAGUGGAAGUAGAGGCAGAUGACGUAGUGGAAGUAGAGGCAGAUGACGUAGUGGAAGUAGAGGCGGAUGAAGUAGUGAAUAAUUUUUUAAAAACGAAUGAAAGUAAAAAUGAUAUAGAUGGUGAUAGCAAUGGUAUCGCACAGAACAAAACCGACUUAAACCAUAUCGACAACGUUAACAACGAAAACGUACUUAAAACAUUUGGGGAAAAAAUAAAUAUGUAUAACCACGAAAACAACGUGUAUGAAAAUUAUAUAAACAUUGAAGAAGUUAUUAAUGAAAAAGAAGACGAAGAGUUACUCGAAUU
Molecule: long non-coding RNA, 2052 nt
Organism: Piliocolobus tephrosceles (Ugandan red Colobus)
Lineage: Eukaryota; Metazoa; Chordata; Mammalia; Primates; Cercopithecidae
Source: Ensembl